This 87-nucleotide transfer RNA is filed under the name Spirochaetaceae bacterium. RNAcentral describes it as "tRNA-Ser". It matches the Rfam family "tRNA". Rfam says of the family: Transfer RNA (tRNA) molecules are approximately 80 nucleotides in length. Their secondary structure includes four short double-helical elements and three loops (D, anti-codon, and T loops). Lineage: Bacteria; Pseudomonadati; Spirochaetota; Spirochaetia; Spirochaetales; Spirochaetaceae. The record is from RNAcentral.
GGAGAGAUGCGAGAGUGGUUGAAUCGGGCGGUCUCGAAAACCGUUGUACUCGCAAGGGUACCGAGGGUUCGAAUCCCUCUCUCUCCG